RNAcentral lists this long non-coding RNA (225 nucleotides) under Capsicum annuum. RNAcentral's name for it is "long non-coding RNA (CANN_LNC015685)". The record is from RNAcentral. Lineage: Eukaryota; Viridiplantae; Streptophyta; Magnoliopsida; Solanales; Solanaceae.
CCCAACUCAAGAUAAAGAAUAGUAAACUAAGGGAUGAAUGAUAUAACAAAAAUAAGGAAUAAGAAAUAUUAAAAUAGAAAUCAGAGAAGUAUGAAAUACGAGAAAUAACGACAACACAAAAAGAGAAAAUAGGAACUAAGAAAUAAGAAAUAGGACACCCACCUAGUAGUAACAUACACUCACAUACCAAAGACACUUAUGCACACAGUCUUAGGAUUACUAGCC